UACGUAGGGUGCAAGCGUUGUCCGGAAUUAUUGGGCGUAAAGAGCUCGUAGGCGGUUUGUUGCGUCGGCUGUGAAAUCCCGAGGCUCAACCUCGGGUCUGCAGUCGAUACGAGCAAACUAGAGUGUUGCAGGGGAGACUGGAAUUCCUGGUGUAGCGGUGAAAUGCGCAGAUAUCAGGAGGAACACCGGUGGCGAAGGCGGUUCUCUGGGCCUUACCUGACGCUGGAGGAGCGAAAGCGUGGGGAGCAAACAGG
Molecule: ribosomal RNA, 254 nt
Filed under: uncultured bacterium
Lineage: Bacteria
Description: partial 16S ribosomal RNA
Rfam family: Bacterial small subunit ribosomal RNA
Source: RNAcentral